This 77-nucleotide transfer RNA is filed under the name Pseudomonas amygdali pv. lachrymans str. M301315. Its description in RNAcentral is "tRNA-Arg". It matches the Rfam family "tRNA". Rfam says of the family: Transfer RNA (tRNA) molecules are approximately 80 nucleotides in length. Their secondary structure includes four short double-helical elements and three loops (D, anti-codon, and T loops). The record is from RNAcentral. Lineage: Bacteria; Pseudomonadati; Pseudomonadota; Gammaproteobacteria; Pseudomonadales; Pseudomonadaceae.
GCUGCUGUAGCUCAACUGAAUAGAGCAGGGGCCUUCGAAGCCCAGGGUUGCGGGUUUGAAUCCUGCCAGCAGCGCCA